Molecule: long non-coding RNA, 1986 nt
Organism: Solanum tuberosum (potato)
Lineage: Eukaryota; Viridiplantae; Streptophyta; Magnoliopsida; Solanales; Solanaceae
Exons: 4
Source: RefSeq, a predicted model, not a curated record
AAUCACGAUUUGUAAUUCGAAGUGAAAAUUUGAUAUCUAAACUUUGAAACUGUGAUGAAUGUUGUUUUUGCUGCAGUUUUCAUGUAUUUUUUUCACUGUUCAUCGAGUAGGUGAAAUGUCGUAGAAGAAAUUGAAUUGAUUUAUUAAGUUUCUCUUGAAUUCUCCGCAGCAUUUUGUUUUCAUGUAUUUUUUCACUGUUCAUCGAGUAGGUGAAAUGGCGUAGAAGAAAUUGGAUUGAUUUAUUAAGUUUCUCUCGAAUUCUCAGCAGCAUUUUGUUUAAACCGGAUGUGUUUGUGUUAAUUAAAUUUUCAUUGAGGAGGUGAAUGGACAACGGAAAUUUUACUAUUUGUGAAAUUUUAGUUUCAUCGAGUAGGUGAAAUGGCGUAGAAGAAGUUGGUUUAAUUUCCUAUGUCUUCUCACGAGUUCUCCGCGGCAUUUUGGUAAGUUUGAGCUUGCUCUAAUACAUACAGCCUCAAAAACAUGCUGAAGGAUUCAACUGAGUUCUCUUCUAAAUCUGUCCCGUUUUUUCUCCAAAAUGUCACACUACUACAUGAGAAAGAAGAAAAUCACCCAAGCAAGUUUCAAGAAAAGUCGCAUAAAGUUGCAUGCGAGGCAAAGGUGACCUUGAAAAUGCUAACUGCACCAACAAGGGUGUCCUCCAUCAUACAUCGACAAAUUGGGGGGCUGAAAUCCAUGAGCCUAACUAUAGCCCUCGCCUUUGGCAUGGUACGAUGUUGCAUACAAACAUUGUGGUGAUAAGGUCCAACUCAAUUUUCCCAAUCAUGUGCACACAAAAACCAAGCUCAGAAUUUAACUGGCUCUAGCUAUUUGAUGACACACAGUGGAGUUCAAGAGAGGGCUACAGUUUGGCUCACGGAUUUUAGCAACCCAUUUCCCCAUGUACGUUGGAUGACAAUCUUGUUGGGCCAAUUUGCAUUUUCAGGGUCACCUUUGCCUGACGUGCAGCCUUUUCUGAAACUUGUUUAGGUGAUUUUCUUCUUCCCUGUAUGAAGUGUAACAUUUUUGGGGAAAUGAGACUGAUUUGGAAGACAAUUGAGUCAAGUUAUUCAGCAUGUUUUAGGGGCAGUAUUUGUAGUUAAGAGGACAAAAAAUGAAGGAAUUUGAUUUCCUAUAUGUCUGUAUACAUGUGAACUUAAGAAGUUCACUAAUACUUGUCAAAAGCAAUCAAACAUUUUGCUUGUAGUAGCAAUUAACACGGAAGCUACGCAUGCAUAUUUUUUGGUCUCAUGCGAAGAUCGCCGAGAGGGGACAACACAUUACACCUCAAAAUACUUCUUUUCUAGAAUUCCUUUUUCCUUUUUAAACUUCUACAAUUUUGAAACUACUGACCAAAAUCAUUACUUUUUUCGUCUUCUUCCAAGGUAAAAAAAUGAAGUAACAGUGCUGAAAAAGUUGAUAUUUAGGUUCUGGACUCGUAGUUUAUUGGUGUCUUCUUUUUUCUUGAAUUUUUUAGCUCAGACAGAUGCUAUUUUCUUUCUUCUGAGAAACCAAUUAAAAUGACCAGUGCUAAGAAAGUUAAUAUCUUGUGCUAUAAAUUAAUGUUGGUGUUUAUAUCAAAGGAUUUUCUAAAUUAUUGUUUCAUCCUUGUUGUCUUAGCUAAAAUUAUAACUGAUGAACUCCUUAUGAAUUUGGUGUCAAAUUCUUUACUCUUUUUCUUUUUGAACUAUUAAAUUCUUAUUUGUCAUUACCUUCUCCUAUUUCUUGUGCAAUUGGUUUCUAUAUUUUUGGUCGUUAGUUCAGACAAACUCUAUCAAUAGAAUUGGAGAAGCAUAUAACAAAAUCAAUCUAGUAGUUCUUAUAUACCAUGUGACUGUUUUGAUCAUCCUUAUGAACGCUGAAGGACUAAGGAGAAUAGCUUGAGAAGAUGUUAAGGCAUUGCUGAUGGGAAAAAGAUAAAAGAGGUGAGAUGGUGUAGAAGAAAUUGGAUUAAUUUCCUAGUGUUCUCUCGGACUCUUUGCAGCAUUU